GGGGGUAUAGCUCAGUGGUAGAGCAUUUGACAGCAGAUCAAGAGGUCCCCUGUACAAAUCUGAGUGCCCCCU
This is a non-coding RNA of Danio rerio (zebrafish), 72 nucleotides long. The record is from Rfam. Lineage: Eukaryota; Metazoa; Chordata; Actinopteri; Cypriniformes; Danionidae.